RNAcentral lists this ribosomal RNA (686 nucleotides) under uncultured euryarchaeote. RNAcentral's name for it is "bacterial SSU rRNA". It matches the Rfam family "Archaeal small subunit ribosomal RNA", at positions 73 to 758 of the family's 1478-position model. The record is from RNAcentral. Lineage: Archaea; Methanobacteriati; Methanobacteriota.
GACUCGUGGCAGAUAGCUCAGUAACACGUGGCCAAGCUACCCUAUGGAGAGGGAUAACCCCGGGAAACUGGGGCUAAUACCUCAUAACGCUCCCUCACUGGAAUGUGGGGAGCCGGAAAUGUUCUGGCGCCAUAGGAUGCGGCUGCGGUCGAUUAGGUAGACGGUGGGGUAACGGCCCACCGUGCCGAUAAUCGGUACGGGUCGUGAGAGCGAGAGCCCGGAGAUGGAUUCUGAGACAAGAAUCCAGGCCCUACGGGGCGCAGCAGGCGCGAAAACUUUACACUGCACGAAAGUGCGAUAAGGGGACUCCGAGUGUGUGGGCAUAGAGCCCACACUUUUGUGUACCGUAAGGUGGUACACGAAUAAGAGCUGGGCAAGACCGGUGCCAGCCGCCGCGGUAAUACCGGCAGCUCAAGUGAUGGCCGAUCUUAUUGGGCCUAAAGCGUCCGUAGCCGGCCGGGCAAGUCCGUUGGGAAAUCUGUUCGCUUAACGAACAGGCGUCCAGCGGAAACUGCUCGGCUUGGGACCGAAAGACCUGAGGGGUACGUCCGGGGUAGGAGUGAAAUCCUGUAAUCCUGGACGGACCGCCGAUGGGGAAACCACCUCAGGAGGACGGAUCCGACGGUGAGGGACGAAAGCUAGGGUCUCGAACCGGAUUAGAUACCCGGGUAGUCCUAGCUGUAAAC